CGGGGGGGAGCAAGCGUUGUUCGGAUUUACUGGGCGUAAAGGGCGCGUAGGCGGCCACCGCAAGUCGACUGUGAAAUCUCCGGGCUUAACCCGGAACGGUCAGCCGAUACUGCGGGGCUAGAGUGCAGAAGGGGGCAACUGGAAUUCUCGGUGUAGCGGUGAAAUGCGUAGAUAUCGAGAGGAACACCUGCGGCGAAGGCGGGUUGCUGGGCUGACACUGACGCUGAGGCGCGAAAGCUAGGGGAGCGAACGGGAUUAGAUACCCCGGUAGUCCUAGCCUUAAACGAUGAAUGCUUGGUGUCUGGGGUUUUAUAGUCCCCGGGUGCCGUCGCUAACGCUUUAAGCAUUCCGCCUGGGGAGUACGGUCGCAAAACUG
This 376-nucleotide ribosomal RNA is filed under the name uncultured organism. RNAcentral describes it as "bacterial SSU rRNA". It matches the Rfam family "Bacterial small subunit ribosomal RNA", at positions 525 to 896 of the family's 1533-position model. The record is from RNAcentral.